CGUAGGUGAACCUGCGGAAGGAUCAUUAAUGAAUUACAAGUCGGUCAUCUGUGCUGGCGGAGACGCAUGUGCACGUUGAUCGCAAAUCCUCACACCUGUGCACCUUUGACUCUGAGUAUUCGCUUGUCGGCUUGUCUGGCUUGCAGUUGGUCAACUUUGGUUGGCCUGGAUCUUGGAGUAUUUUUAUACGCUCUGAAUGUAAUGGAAUGUCUAUGUGCAUAAUGCGCAAAAAUACAACUUUCAACAACGGAUCUCUUGGCUCUCGCACCGAUGAAGAACGCAGCGAAAUGCGAUAAGUAAUGUGAAUUGCAGAAUUCAGUGAAUCAUCGAAUCUUUGAACGCACCUUGCACUCUUUGGUAUUCCGAAGAGUACACCCGUUUGAGUGUCAUUGUAAUCUCACCUCUACACCUUUAUUGUUGUGGAAAGUGGACUUGGGCAUUGUUGUGUACCAACAACUGGCCUGAAAUGGAUGAGUGUACCCUGCUGCUGCAGCGUCUUCAGUGUGAUAAGCAUCUUCACUGAUAAAAGUUCCUUUGGGACACGAUUGCAAAGUGGGCUCUGUGCUUCCAACCGUCUGUCAACAGACAAUACUUGACAAUUUGGCCUCAAAUCGGGUGGGACUACCCGCUGAACUUAAGCAUAUCAAUAAGCGGAGGAAAAGAAACUAACAAGGAUUCCCCUAGUAACGGCGAGUGAAGAGGGAAAAGCUCAAAUUUUGAAUCUGUCGUCUUUGGCGAUCGAGUUGUAAUCUAGAGAAGUGUUUUCUGCCUUGGACCACACAUAAAUUCCCUGGAAUGGGGUGUCAAAGAGGGUGAGAAUCCCGUUUGUGGUGUGGACUCCCUUGGCUCUGUGAUACACUCUCAACGAGUCGAGUUGUUUGGGAAUGCAGCUCAAAAUGGGUGGUAAAUUCCAUCUAAAGCUAAAUACUGGCGAGAGACCGAUAGCGAACAAGUACCGUGAGGGAAAGAUGAAAAGCACUUUGGAAAGAGAGUGAAACAGUACGUGAAAUUGUUGAAAGGGAAGCGUUUGAAGUCAGUCACGUCGUCUGGGACUCAGCCUUGCUUCUGCUUGGUGUACUUCCCAGUCAACGAGUCAGCAUCAGUUUCGACCGUGGGAGAAAGACUUGGGGAAUGUGGCUCCUCGGAGUGUUAUAGCCUCUUGUUGUAUGUCUCGGUUGGGACUGAGGAUCGCAGCGCGCCUUACGGCCGGGGUUCGCGCCCUCGGUACGCGCUUAGGAUGUUGGCAUAAUGGCUUUAAGCGACCCGUCUUGAAACACGGACCAAGGGCGAAUUCUGC
RNAcentral lists this ribosomal RNA (1297 nucleotides) under uncultured Sebacinales. RNAcentral describes it as "eukaryotic LSU rRNA". The stretch from base 602 to 1297 matches the Rfam family "Eukaryotic large subunit ribosomal RNA", at positions 1 to 683 of the family's 3401-position model. The record is from RNAcentral. Lineage: Eukaryota; Fungi; Basidiomycota; Agaricomycetes; Sebacinales.